Molecule: ribosomal RNA, 775 nt
Filed under: uncultured Neocallimastigales
Lineage: Eukaryota; Fungi; Neocallimastigomycota; Neocallimastigomycetes; Neocallimastigales
Description: partial large subunit ribosomal RNA
Rfam family: Eukaryotic large subunit ribosomal RNA
Source: RNAcentral
UGUACACGCUGUGACUAGCAUAUCAAUAAGCGGAGGAAAAGAAACUAACAAGGAUUCCCCUAGUAACGGCGAGUGAAGCGGGAAGAGCUCAAAUUUGAAAUCUUAAAGGGUUUCCCUUUACGAAUUGUAGUUUAAAGAAGUGUUUUCUGUUGAGGUUUUGGUAAAAGUUCUUUGGAAUAGGACAUCAUAGAGGGUGAGAAUCCCGUAUUUGACCUUUACUUUCAACUUUGUGAUACACUUUCAAAGAGUCGGAUUGUUUGGGAAUGCAGUCCAAAAUGGGUGGUAAAUUUCAUCUAAAGCUAAAUAUUGGCGAGAGACCGAUAGCGAACAAGUACCGUGAGGGAAAGAUGAAAAGAACUUUGAAAAGAGAGUUAAACAGUACGUGAAAUUGUCAAAAGGGAAGCGUUUGACACCAGUGUUGUUUUUCUGAAAAUCAAUUAAAGAACUGUUUAUGCUAAGUUGUUUAGACUUUAUCAGCUAACUGUUUAGUUUUGAGCUUUUCUUUAAUGCACUUUUCAGUUAACAAGUCAACAUCAAUUUCUUUUGCUGUAAAAAAGCUUGAGGAAGGUGGCUUGAGAUUCGUCUUAAGUGUUUAUAGCCUCUUGCCUAUGCAGUCGGAGAGAUUGAGGUCUGCAGCGUAGAUCCUUCGGGGCUAAAUGCAUUUGUGCUAAGUUAUAGCAUUUUAUAGACAACUUGUUGACUAUGAUUUGUCUUGUAGCUUACUCGCUUAUGCUAUUUUACCUACGCUUAGGAUGUUGAGCGCAUGUCUCUCUCU